RNAcentral lists this ribosomal RNA (253 nucleotides) under uncultured bacterium. RNAcentral describes it as "partial 16S ribosomal RNA". It matches the Rfam family "Bacterial small subunit ribosomal RNA", at positions 524 to 776 of the family's 1533-position model. The record is from RNAcentral.
UACGUAGGAUGCAAGUGUUAUCCGGAAUCACUGGGCGUAAAGCGUCUGUAGGUGGUUUAAAAAGUCCACUGUUAAAAAUUGAAGCUUAACUUCAAAGAUGCCGUGGAAACUUUUAAACUUGAGUAUGAUAGGGGUAGAGGGAAUUUCCAGUGUAGCGGUUAAAUGCGUAGAUAUUGGAAAGACCACCAAUGGCGAAGGCACUCUACUGGGCCAUUACUGACACUGAGAGCCGAAAGCUAGGGUAGCUAAUGGG